GUACCGCGGCUGCUGGCACGUAGUUAGCCGGCGCUUUUUCUGCAAGUACCGUCACUUUCGCUUCUUCCUUGCUAAAAGAGGUUUACAACCCGAAGGCCGUCGUCCCUCACGCGGCGUUGCUGCAUCAGGCUUUCGCCCAUUGUGCAAUAUUCCCCACUGCUGCCUCCCGUAGGAGUCUGGGCCGUGUCUCAGUCCCAGUGUGGCCGGUCACCCUCUCAGGCCGGCUACCCGUCGACGCCUUGGUGAGCCAUUACCUCACCAACAAGCUGAUAGGCCGCGAGCUCAUCCCUGACCGAAAUUCUUUCCAGCUGCUGAAGAUGCCUUCGCAACUCGUAUCCGGUAUUAGCAGCUGUUUCCAGCUGUUAUCCCAGAGUCAGGGGCAGAUUGCUCACGUGUUACUCACCCGUUCGCCACUGAUCCAGAGAGCAAGCUCUCUUUCACCGUUCGACUUGCAUGUGUUAAGCACGCCGCCAGCGUUCAUCCUGAGCCAUGAUCAAACUC
Molecule: ribosomal RNA, 501 nt
Filed under: uncultured Actinomycetes bacterium
Lineage: Bacteria; Bacillati; Actinomycetota; Actinomycetes
Description: uncultured actinobacterium partial 16S ribosomal RNA
Source: RNAcentral